Ochotona princeps (American pika) is the source of this 415-nucleotide long non-coding RNA. RefSeq lists it as uncharacterized. The record is from RefSeq and is a predicted model, not a curated record. NCBI's taxonomy places the organism in Eukaryota, Metazoa, Chordata, Mammalia, Lagomorpha, Ochotonidae. The transcript is spliced from 3 exons.
CAGCAAAUGAGGUGAGGGGCUUGGAGUUCCAGCCGAAUCCUUUGCCUUGGAAGGGCUACCACUGUCUGUGCCAGGCACAUCAGCAGGGAACUGGACUGGAAGUGGAGCAUCCAGGACUUGAACUUGUGCCCUCCAGUUUUGCAAUAGGUGGAACGUGGUUUAAUAAUUCAGUACUAAUUUUAAGUAUAAAUUGGCAAUCAACAGGGGGCUGUAGCUAGAAGUGAAAUUCUAUAGGUAGGAAAACCGAUGGACCACCCAGCCCCCAUAGGUGCUAUCCUGCUUUGGAAUCCCUUUGCUCAGUUUUUCUCCUGUCCAAUCAGGUGGAAUGUUUCUCGGGCACAUGGGUUAUACAGCUCAAAAUAACUUGGGACCUGCAAGCCGACAAAUGCUCGGGCUCUGGUGGUGACAGGUUGUC